AUAUGGGAAUGGUGUUCUCCCCUGGGAAACCUAAACCGCUUAUUCAAGCUGAUGACUUCUGCGUU
Molecule: non-coding RNA, 65 nt
Filed under: uncultured Ruminococcus sp.
Lineage: Bacteria; Bacillati; Bacillota; Clostridia; Eubacteriales; Oscillospiraceae
Description: Fluoride riboswitch
Rfam family: Fluoride riboswitch aptamer (crcB RNA motif)
Source: RNAcentral